CCGAUUACCCGGGCUGCCCUUCACUCUCUAUACUACUAUCAACGGGAACCCAACGGGGAGGAGACGCUGAUGUCGAAGAUACCGCUGAGGUGGCAGCGUGAUCAUUUCGAUCUCUCCACGGCGCAUUACCGGGUCAAGUAUGCGAUGCUCGGCGAGGAGGAUAGGCUCGCGUACAAGAAGCUGGUCGAUUACGUGCAGAGCUUCAGCUUGGGGUUCUGGGCGAAUCGACAGGGCGUGCCCUACCUGGAUGA
This 251-nucleotide long non-coding RNA is filed under the name Lathyrus oleraceus (garden pea). Its description in RNAcentral is "Pisum sativum (pea) long non-coding RNA (PSAT_LNC028131)". The record is from RNAcentral. Lineage: Eukaryota; Viridiplantae; Streptophyta; Magnoliopsida; Fabales; Fabaceae.